GCUGGUCGCAGGGCUGCGGGACUACAAUCUUCGCAUGAAAUGGAAGAGAGGGUGGUGCGGAUAGCUUGAGGAAGGAACACUACAAGGCCUGUUAGAGAAGAAAGGGUAGAAUCCCGAGAAUGUUUUCCCCACAGUGCUGAUAAGGAGAGACCACUAUCCCAUCUACUGCUACAGCUCUGGAGACAGAGCUCUCCCACCUGUCAUAUAGAACACAAGGACCAAUCUGCAGAGAAAGAGCAUCCAAACCUGAUCCAGUGGACACUGGGGAAAAACUCACCACAGCUGAGUGUGGAAAAACAAGGCCAACACACACAUCUCUGCACAGAUACAUCUCCCAUAAAGAAACUAAAGUGUUAAUUUACAGGGCACUGUUGCAGACCCACUUCAGCUGGAAGCUAGGAACAUGGACAAGGAGCCUCUCUACCACCAAGGGAGAGAGAGGAAUGUGCUCUUGUCCUGGCAUUGCAUCCACAGGAGGGGCAGGAAAUUCUUUGAAGGUUUUCAGAUCUCAUGACUACUUUAUUUUGGAGUUGCCAGACUCAGCAAAUAAAAAUACACGACACACAGUUAAGUUUAAUAUUCAGAAAGAAAACUGUUGUGGCAAGUCAGGGACCCCAAACGGAGGGACCGGCUGAAGCCAUGGCAGAAGAACAAGGAUUGUGAAGAUUUCAUGGACAUUUAUUAGUUCCCCAAAUUAAUACUUUUAUAAUUUCUUAUGUCUGUCUUUACUGCAAUCUCUAAACAUA
This 746-nucleotide long non-coding RNA is filed under the name Homo sapiens (human). RNAcentral describes it as "non-protein coding lnc-VSTM2B-9:19". The record is from RNAcentral. Lineage: Eukaryota; Metazoa; Chordata; Mammalia; Primates; Hominidae.